Molecule: long non-coding RNA, 1063 nt
Organism: Gambusia affinis (western mosquitofish)
Lineage: Eukaryota; Metazoa; Chordata; Actinopteri; Cyprinodontiformes; Poeciliidae
Exons: 2
Source: RefSeq, a predicted model, not a curated record
CUUCUUCCGGACCUCGCUCAGCCGAGGCUCCCAUCUGGAACCUGGACCUGCUUAAGGAUUUUAAUAAGGAGACCAAAGCCCUGAACCCGCAUUCAAACCCCUCCCAGACCGAGAUCAUCAUUUCUACAAUGUGUCGACGUCUCCGUGAAUCUUCCCCAGGGACCAUGCUCUCUCCACCUCUCUUACCUCUGUAUUUCAAUAAACAAUAUUUCACUGAUUUUCUGUUCUCCUGUGGUGUUCUGCAUGUGGACAAAGAAAAUGGAUCCAAACAUCACAAAAAGACACCAGCAGAAUCUGAAAGCUUAAUAUUUAAUUGCCUUUAAAAGCUGCAAAAACUAAAAAAAAUAAUACAGGUCCAACUUUUCAACAUAAUAUCAUCCAUACAAAACUUUCCAAUGACAUCAUCAACAUGGACAGUAACCAGUACAGUAAAUGUAGCAGAUAGGAGCUUUUGUUUUGUUAAGUAACAAAAAGAGGCCUUUUGCUGUUCUGAUGGUUGUAAGUUGACUGAACACAAAUUAGUUAAUGAUAAUUGAUCACAUCAUCAAAUGUUGAGGCCUGAAAUUAUGAGUCACUUAGACUGUGUGGACAGGAAUGUGUUCAUAUUCACUAAGAUGAACUGCUGCUCUCCACUCAGAGAUGAGUCUCAUGGUGAGAAUGAUUUAGUUUGUUUACUGUCUUUGUCAUGAAGUGUGGUAGAGAGGUGGUGAGACAGACACAGAGGACCCACGUUGGAGUGAAUUAAAGAUGAUUUAAUGGUGAAAAUGCAAUUCCAAAGUCCAGAAAUCCAGGCAGUACAGAUGAGACACAACAAAACUCAGAGCUGGUAGCAACUGGGAUAACUAAACCAAAACGACAAACUUGACGGCAGACAAGACGAGAACCCAACAAGGAACCAGGAACACAGGUGGGAUUAAAUACACACAAUAAGGAGAAACAAGAGACAAAUGGAGACUCAAUUAACUGAAAACCACACAAAAACCUAAACUAACACAAAGAAAACCCCAAGUCCUCAGUAUCAUUACAAAAGAAGAAGAAUUGAAUAACAUGAUUUGUCAAUAAG